AUUGAACGCUGGCGGCAGGCUUAACACAUGCAAGUCGAGCGAGCGGCGGACGGGUGAGUAAUGUCUGGGAAACUGCCUGAUGGAUGGGGAUAACUACUGGAAACGGUAGCUAAUACCGCAUACCAUCAGAUGUGCCCAGAUGGGAUUAGCUAGUAGGUGGGGUAAUGGCUCACCUAGGCGACGAUCCCUAGCUGGUCUGAGAGGAUGACCAGGAAAGCUGGAACUGAGGAGCGGUCCAGACUGCUACGGGAGGCAGCAGUGGGGAAUAUUGCACAAUGGGGAGAAUCCUGAUGCAGCCAUGCGGCGUGUGUGAAGAAGGCCUUCGGGUUGUAAAGCACUUUCAGAGAGGCGGCGUUACUCGCAGAAGAAGCACCGGCUAGCUCCGUGCCAGCAGCCGCGGUAAUAC
This 406-nucleotide ribosomal RNA is filed under the name uncultured bacterium. RNAcentral's name for it is "partial 16S ribosomal RNA". It matches the Rfam family "Bacterial small subunit ribosomal RNA", at positions 30 to 526 of the family's 1533-position model. The record is from RNAcentral.